UACGUAGGGUGCAAGCGUUGUCCGGAAUUAUUGGGCGUAAAGAGCUCGUAGGUGGCGGGUCACGUCGGGUGUGAAAGCCCGGGGCUUAACCCCGGGUCUGCAUUCGAUACGGGUCUGCUGGGGUCCGGCAGGGGAGACUGGAAUUCCUGGUGUAGCGGUGAAAUGCGCAGAUAUCAGGAGGAACACCGGUGGCGAAGGCGGUUCUCUGGGCCUGUACUGACGCUGAGGAGCGAAAGCGUGGGGAGCGAACAGG
Molecule: ribosomal RNA, 253 nt
Filed under: uncultured bacterium
Lineage: Bacteria
Description: partial 16S ribosomal RNA
Rfam family: Bacterial small subunit ribosomal RNA
Source: RNAcentral